Molecule: long non-coding RNA, 234 nt
Filed under: Elaeis guineensis (African oil palm)
Lineage: Eukaryota; Viridiplantae; Streptophyta; Magnoliopsida; Arecales; Arecaceae
Description: long non-coding RNA (EGUI_LNC039936)
Source: RNAcentral
CUCCCUCACUGAAACUCGGAGUCCAUCUAGAUCAGAAGAUAUGAAGUCCCUAGAGUCCUGAUAUCUGCUCGGAUCAGCUCAAGUGAAGAAUGAAGCUGGCUGUGGAAUCUCUCUAUCUGUUGAGCUAAAUCAUCCAACUGAGGUGAAGAGGUGAUCGAUGUGCUCGCUCUUGCCGAUAAAGAAUCUAAAAUCAGUCUGAUCUCUCUCUCAAUAUCAAAAAUUCUACCACUAAAC